This 978-nucleotide ribosomal RNA is filed under the name Staphylococcus cohnii. Its description in RNAcentral is "bacterial SSU rRNA". It matches the Rfam family "Bacterial small subunit ribosomal RNA", at positions 172 to 1155 of the family's 1533-position model. The record is from RNAcentral. Lineage: Bacteria; Bacillati; Bacillota; Bacilli; Caryophanales; Staphylococcaceae.
GAUAACAUUUAGAACCGCAUGGUUCUAAAGUGAAAGAUGGUUUUGCUAUCACUUAUAGAUGGACCCGCGCCGUAUUAGCUAGUUGGUAAGGUAACGGCUUACCAAGGCAACGAUACGUAGCCGACCUGAGAGGGUGAUCGGCCACACUGGAACUGACACACGGUCCAGACUCCUACGGGAGGCAGCAGUAGGGAAUCUUCCGCAAUGGGCGAAAGCCUGACGGAGCAACGCCGCGUGAGUGAUGAAGGUCUUCGGAUCGUAAAACUCUGUUAUUAGGGAAGAACAAAUGUGUAAGUAACUAUGCACGUCUUGACGGUACCUAAUCAGAAAGCCACGGCUAACUACGUGCCAGCAGCCGCGGUAAUACGUAGGUGGCAAGCGUUAUCCGGAAUUAUUGGGCGUAAAGCGCGCGUAGGCGGUUUUCUGAUGUGAAAGCCCACGGCUCAACCGUGGAGGGUCAUUGGAAACUGGGAAACUUGAGUGCAGAAGAGGAAAGUGCAUGUGUAGCGGUGAAAUGCGCAGAGAUAUGGAGGAACACCAGUGGCGAAGGCGACUUUCUGGUCUGUAACUGACGCUGAUGUGCGAAAGCGUGGGGAUCAAACAGGAUUAGAUACCCUGGUAGUCCACGCCGUAAACGAUGAGUGCUAAGUGUUAGGGGGUUUCCGCCCCUUAGUGCUGCAGCUAACGCACACUCCGCCUGGGGAGUACGACCGCAAGGUUGAAACUCAAAGGAAUUGACGGGGACCCGCACAAGCGGUGGAGCAUGUGGUUUAAUGCAACGCGAAAGAACCUUACCAAAUCUUGACAUCCUUUGACAACUCUAGAGAUAGAGCCUUCCCCUUCGGGGGGACAUAGUGACAGGUGGUGCAUGGUUGUCGUCAGCUCGGUCGUGAGAUGCUGGGGGUCCUCGCACGAGCAGCAACCCCGUAAACUUUACUAGUCAUUUUAGCUCGCGGCCACUCGUAAGUUGACUGCCCG